AGCAAAUAGGAAGUUCCUGGGUGGUUACGGGGGAGGGAAAGUCACGGCAGCAGGAGUAGCGCACACGUCACAUGCAUGUGACAGGGAGCAGUGCAGUGCAUUCAGGAAGCUCGGGGCUGUGUGGUGAGGACUCAGAACGCAGGGAGAAGGCGGCACAGGCCCAGAGGAUGAGGGGCUGUGGGUCAGAGAAUGGUGGGAACCUCCCCAAAUCCCAAGUUCCCCGAGGCCAGCCCAGGGCCAGCCUUGUGUGCGGGUGUUUCUGAGGAUGGUGCGUCUCUGCAUGAGCCUUGUGUGUCAUGUGCAAGAGUGUGUGUUGUGUCCUAUGCGUGGGAGGGAGCUGCCGGCGGUGCAUUUGUGGGGGCCGAGGGCCAGUCAGGAUGUGCCGUUAGAACCACGUGGCUCCUGAAAGCAAGCCCGUGAUACCAGAGAUACCUGGUAGUAGCAUCUAUAUCUGAUUAGCUGUACAUCUCUUGACAGUCUUUUUAAAAGCAUGAGUGAAGAAAGACAUAAACUUCCGGAUUUGCGUAAGUGAGCUUGCCAACUAAGGAAACACAUGAGUAUUAUCUGUAUCUUCAGGAGCACUUGAUUAGACUCCAGAAACAGAAACUGCAGCUGCUCCCACCACCCCCACCACCGCAGGCCCUCCCCGGGGCGCAGCCAACCACACAAGUGCAAGUGCAGCCAUCACCCCCCACCACAGCAGAGCCCCCAGCUCACCACGGUCACGGCCCCGAGACCCAGAGCCCUGUUGAUGGGCACCACCAUGGCCAACCUCCAGACUCGAGUUUCCACCUCCCACCUGCAAGGCCCAAGACUGAUGUCAGCGCUGACGUACCAGAUGGCCCAGGUUGCUGUGGCCACGCCUCCUGUGGUGUCUGUCCUGGCAGUUGUGGUGCUGUCAGCCAGGGUCACAGUGCUUCCAUCAACGCAACGGGAUCAGUGUUGUGAUAAGGCAGCUGCAAAAAGCGGCAGUUGCAAAAGAUGGUGAAGAACUCAAGCUGAAGAGGUGUCUGCUGAAUUUUGUUGCUUCGGUAGGAGCUUUUCACCAUCAGUUUUUAGAAAGUACGCAUGACUCUCCUUCUGUUGAUAUCUCUCUUGAUUUGGCAAAGAGUACAAGGAGGACCGCAAAGGGUUGCCAUAUAAUCAUCACAAAUAGAUCCAGGGAUACCAUAUCAGGUCCUGUAGAGUCCUCAUUGCGACGCUUGCUCCACACAGCAUUCAUUCAUAUCAGCUGCAACUUGACACCCAAGGCACGGGAGA
This 1260-nucleotide long non-coding RNA is filed under the name Pan troglodytes (chimpanzee). RNAcentral's name for it is "long non-coding RNA NONPTRT003754". Lineage: Eukaryota; Metazoa; Chordata; Mammalia; Primates; Hominidae. The record is from RNAcentral.